This 859-nucleotide long non-coding RNA is filed under the name Erythranthe guttata (spotted monkey flower). RNAcentral describes it as "long non-coding RNA (EGUT_LNC002477)". The record is from RNAcentral. Lineage: Eukaryota; Viridiplantae; Streptophyta; Magnoliopsida; Lamiales; Phrymaceae.
UUAUUAACUCAACAAUAAAUUAAAAUAUUCAUUAACAAAAUAAUCGUAAAUAGACAUCGAAUAAAAUCAGAACCCCACAAAUGUUCUUCCCCAAACCAAAAUAUCUGCUACUAUCGAGAUUAAACAGAAUCCCUAGUUCAUGUUCUGCUUCAUCGUCUCGCCAGCGGAAGAGCGCCGAGGGGGAGUUUGUGUUGAGGGAAUUGCUUCAGUAAUUCGUUCUUCCAUUCUCUUUUAAGUUGUUUCUUGCUCACGGCUAGAGUUGAGAAAUUUGAACAAUUGCUUCGUUUUCCUUUUUUUAAAUGGUCUGUUUCUUGUUGCUAGAAUCGAGAAUUUGGAUUUUCUUCGUUAAGCAGGGAAUUCGCAAAUUGUUUUAUGUUUCCAAUAUUCGGCAACACGACAAUUGACAUGGGGCAGGGUCUCUGUAUGUUUGGUUACAUGUAUAAACUACCACAAUUCGAGAGUUACAGCCAAAAAGAGAAUCAAUACGUGGCGAAAACAGUAAGUGGUUGCUAUUGUUGUGAUGACGAAGCAUAAUCGAAGCAUAAUCGAGGAGAGAGAUAUGUUUGGAAGGCCAACUUGUUGUUGGUUUCAGAGGUCUUCGUUCUAUUCGGUUGCCAUGGAGACUAUAAAAUCGAGGAAUUUUGUGCAUCCAGAUAUGGCUGAUGAUGGUCCAACAUGCAAUAGUGUCUCAAAUAUGAAGUUUCAGGCUUAAGAUGCUAUAAGCUUUCGGAUGAUUCUUAACAAGAAUAUAUGAAAUAUUUUUUUUGUGCUUUGAGGAAAUCUCUAGCUUACAAGAAAACAAUGUAUAUAUAUUAAGUAUGAAGCAAACCUCAAUGAUCCUAUUCUUUCAAUGUUUUGG